UUCAAAUCCUGGAGUUACUCCUUGUCAACAACAAUAAGGAGUAACUCUGAGAUUUGAACC
RNAcentral lists this microRNA precursor (60 nucleotides) under Sarcophilus harrisii (Tasmanian devil). Its description in RNAcentral is "Sha-Novel-20_pre stem-loop". The record is from RNAcentral. Lineage: Eukaryota; Metazoa; Chordata; Mammalia; Dasyuromorphia; Dasyuridae.